AGAGUUUGAUCAUGGCUCAGGACGAACGCUGGCGGCGUGCCUAACACAUGCAAGUCGAGCGGAGAUUGCAGUAAUGUAAUCUUAGCGGCGGACGGGUGAGUAACGCGUGGGCAACCUGCCUCACACUGGGGGAUAACACAGGGAAACUUGUGCUAAUACCGCAUAACAUCAUGAAAGGACAUCCUUUUAUGAUCAAUGGAGCAAUCCGGUGAGAGAUGGGCCCGCGUCCAAUUAGCUAGUUGGUGAUGUAACGGACCACCAAGGCGACGAUUGGUAGCCGAACUGAGAGGUUGAUCGGCCACAUUGGGACUGAGAUACGGCCCAGACUCCUACGGGAGGCAGCAGUGGGGAAUAUUGCGCAAUGGGGGAAACCCUGACGCAGCAACGCCGCGUGAAGGAUGAAGGUUUUCGGAUCGUAAACUUCUUUGAUGGGGGACGAAACAAAUGACGGUACCCCAAAAAUAAGCCACGGCUAACUACGUGCCAGCAGCCGCGGUAAUACGUAGGUGGCGAGCGUUGUCCGGAAUUACUGGGUGUAAAGGGCGUGUAGGCGGGAAUGCAAGUCAGAUGUGAAAUACCGAGGCUUAACCUCGGAGCUGCAUCUGAAACUGUGUUUCUUGAGUGUCGGAGAGGAAAGUGGAAUUCCCAGUGUAGCGGUGAAAUGCGUAGAUAUUGGGAGGAACACCAGUGGCGAAGGCGACUUUCUGGACGAUAACUGACGCUGAGGCGCGAAAG
RNAcentral lists this ribosomal RNA (735 nucleotides) under uncultured Acetivibrio sp. Its description in RNAcentral is "bacterial SSU rRNA". It matches the Rfam family "Bacterial small subunit ribosomal RNA", at positions 8 to 759 of the family's 1533-position model. Lineage: Bacteria; Bacillati; Bacillota; Clostridia; Acetivibrionales; Acetivibrionaceae. The record is from RNAcentral.